CAAUAAGUCGGCUUUCAAUUUCAAUUAGCGAACUUUCCAUACAAUUAGUGUCUAAAUUAUGCACACUCAGCUCUGUCCGAACACCAUACGACAAUAUGUGUAAUUGUAGCCGCUAAUUAAAACCAGAGCUCAAGCCCAAUGUUUAAUGCAAACAAUGCAAAUUGCGCAUACGCCGCGUGAGCCAUUGAACUUGUCGUCAGUCAGUGCUACUCAAUCCACGGCACACGCCAUCUGCCGGAGGUUUCGAUAAUUACGGGCAAUCCCGGGCUGCCUCACAGGGAACCCACUGGAUACCGCUUCCCAACUGAUGAUUAUGAUGAUGAUGAUGGUGAGGCCUAUCGUGCAAUCAUAAUUAAUUAAACAUUGUUUUUAACAAUUUCCGUGUCAAGAUUGGUUGCUGUAAACUUAAUUGUUGCUACAGCAAGUGCAACAUUUUGAUGGUUUCCUGUGAGAAAGCCAAUUUUCUAGCCCGCCACCAUUGUUAUCCAUGAUAACACCACAUGGAAAUUAAGUAGUAACACUUUUUAAAGAAAUUGAUUCCUAAAAAAAGAAUUGUUCUUAUUUAAUAAAUAUUUACCAGCUUAUACUUACCAAAACCUCU
Drosophila melanogaster (fruit fly) is the source of this 601-nucleotide non-coding RNA. The record is from Ensembl. NCBI's taxonomy places the organism in Eukaryota, Metazoa, Arthropoda, Insecta, Diptera, Drosophilidae.